GACGAACGCUGGCGGCGUGCUUAACACAUGCAAGUCGAACGGAAAGGCCCUGCUUUUGUGGGGUGCUCGAGUGGCGAACGGGUGAGUAACACGUGAGUAACCUGCCCUUGACUUUGGGAUAACUUCAGGAAACUGGGGCUAAUACCGGAUAGGAGCUCCUGCUGCAUGGUGGGGGUUGGAAAGUUUCGGCGGUUGGGGAUGGACUCGCGGCUUAUCAGCUUGUUGGUGGGGUAGUGGCUUACCAAGGCUUUGACGGGUAGCCGGCCUGAGAGGGUGACCGGCCACAGUGGGACUGAGAGACGGCCCAGACUCCUACGGGAGGCAGCAGUGGGGAAUAUUGCACAAUGGGCGGAAGCCUGAUGCAGCAACGCCGCGUGCGGGAUGACGGCCUUCGGGUGGUAAACCGCUUUCGCCUGUGACGAAGCGUGAGUGACGGUAAUGGGUAAAGAAGCACCGGCUAACUACGUG
This 468-nucleotide ribosomal RNA is filed under the name uncultured bacterium. RNAcentral's name for it is "partial 16S ribosomal RNA". It matches the Rfam family "Bacterial small subunit ribosomal RNA", at positions 28 to 507 of the family's 1533-position model. The record is from RNAcentral.